This 481-nucleotide ribosomal RNA is filed under the name uncultured bacterium. Its description in RNAcentral is "partial 16S ribosomal RNA". It matches the Rfam family "Bacterial small subunit ribosomal RNA", at positions 28 to 507 of the family's 1533-position model. The record is from RNAcentral.
GAUGAACGCUGGCGGCGUGCUUAACACAUGCAAGUCGAACGAAGCACUUUAUUUGAUUUCCUUCGGGACUGAUUAUUUUGUGACUGAGUGGCGGACGGGUGAGUAACGCGUGGGUAACCUGCCUUGUACAGGGGGAUAACAGUUGGAAACGGCUGCUAAUAUCGCAUAAGCGCACGGCAUCGCAUGAUGCAGUGUGAAAAACUCCGGUGGUAUAAGAUGGACCCGCGUUGGAUUAGCUAGUUGGUGAGGUAACGGCCCACCAAGGCGACGAUCCAUAGCCGACCUGAGAGGGUGACCGGCCACAUUGGGACUGAGACACGGCCCAAACUCCUACGGGAGGCAGCAGUGGGGAAUAUUGCACAAUGGGCGAAAGCCUGAUGCAGCGACGCCGCGUGAGCGAAGAAGUAUUUCGGUAUGUAAAGCUCUAUCAGCAGGGAAGAUAAUGACGGUACCUGACUAAGAAGCACCGGCUAAAUACGUG